UAGGGAAUCUUCGGCAAUGGACGAAAGUCUGACCGAGCAACGCUGCGUGAGUGAAGAAGGUUUUCGGAUCGUAAAACUCUGUUGUUAGAGAAGAACAAGGACGUUAGUAACUGAACGUCCCCUUACGGUAUCUAACCAGAAAGCCACGGCUAACUACGUGCCAGCAGCCGCGGUAAUACGUAGGUGGCAAGCGUUUUCCGGAUUUAUUGGGCGUAAAGCGAGCGCAGGCGGUUUCUUAAGUCUGAUGUGAAAGCCCCCGGCUCAACCCGGGAGGGUCAUUGGAAACUGGGAGUCGUGAGUGCAGAAGAGGAGAGUGGAUUUCCAUGUGUAGCGGUGAAUUGCGUAGAUAUAUGGAGGAAAACCAGUGGCGAAGGCGGCUCUCUGGUCUGAAAGUGACGCUGAGGCUAGAAAGCGUGGGGAGCAAACAGG
Molecule: ribosomal RNA, 429 nt
Filed under: Gemmatimonadota bacterium
Lineage: Bacteria; Pseudomonadati; Gemmatimonadota
Description: Gemmatimonadetes bacterium partial 16S ribosomal RNA
Rfam family: Bacterial small subunit ribosomal RNA
Source: RNAcentral